UACGGAGGGAGCUAGCGUUAUUCGGAAUGAUUGGGCGUAAAGGACGCGUAGGCGGUUUUGUAAGUCUUUAGUGAAAUCCCCGAGCUUAACUCGGGAAUUGCUUGAGAUACUGCAUAACUAGAGUAUGGAAGAGGGUAGUGGAAUCUUUGGUGUAGAGGUGAAAUUCUUAGAUAUCAGAGAGAACGUCGGUGGCGAAAGCGACUACCUAGAACAUAACUGACGCUGAGGCGUGAAAGCGUGGGGAGCAAAAGGG
RNAcentral lists this ribosomal RNA (253 nucleotides) under uncultured bacterium. RNAcentral's name for it is "partial 16S ribosomal RNA". It matches the Rfam family "Bacterial small subunit ribosomal RNA", at positions 524 to 776 of the family's 1533-position model. The record is from RNAcentral.